AUUUUCGUCUGCUUCCCCUGGAGAUGUGGUUUCCAAAGAAAAGUGAAGUUUUGAAAUAUAAACUUAUUGCUUAUAUCUUUAAUAAUGAUGCAAGCACUCAACUUGAAUCAGGUCAUUCUGCUCCGAUUAGAAACGAUCUGAAGCUAGGCUGCUAGAUCGUCGAGAGUCGAGGUCACACGGUAGUUGAUUCUUAGUCCUGUCUCUAUCACUCAGCUGUCAGGUGUUUGGUGUGUUUAACAUUUGAUGUCGUUUAACCCGUGUUAACAAUGCAGACGAUGGACCAAAAACAAAACCCAUGCCAUCCCGUCAAAGGUCAAAGAAUAGAUUCCUCCUGACAGUUUUUUCUAAUGAUAUUCACUGUGACAAGCAAGCAACAGACUUUAUGUAGACCACCCAAAAGAACCAUGUCAUCCUUUCAAAGGUCAAUGAGUAGAUUCCUCGUAAUCCUUUAUUUCUAAGGAUAUUCAAGGUGACAAGCAAGUAGCAGGCCUUACGUAGAUCAAAUAAUAAUUGCAAAGGUCAAUGAGUAGAUAACUCAAAAGCUUUAUUUCUAAGGGUAUUCAUUGUGACAACCAAGCAACAGGCCUUACGUAGACCUACAAAACGCAUGCCAUCCUAUCAACGGUCAAGUGGUAGAUUCCUCACAAUCCUUCAUUUCUAAGGAUAUUCACUGGGACAAGCAAGUAGCAGGCCUUACGUAGAUCAAAUAAUAAUUGCAAAGGUCAACGAGUAGAUACCUCACAUUCUUUAGUUCUAAGGAUAUCCACUGUGACAAGCAAGUAACAAAACUUACGUAGACCUCCAAAACCAUGCCAUCCUUUCAACGGUCAAAGGGUAGAUUCGAAACAAUGCUUCAUUUAUAGGGAUGUUUACAGUGACAAGCAAGUAACGGGCCUUACGUAGACCUCCAAACGCAUGCCAUCCUUUCAACUGUCAAAGGGAAGAUUCCCCACAAUCCUUUAAUUCUAAGGAUAUUCACUGUGACAAUCAAGCAACAGACCUUACUCAGCAAAAUGACCGCGCACGAAUGCCCCGUGUGUUUAAAACUUUUUAUUUCGGAGCCAGUGCUGACAACACAUCUGCAUGACCAUGGACUAUUUUCCCAUCCUUACAAGUGUAUGUUCUGUCACAAUCGAUACAAUACGCAGGGCGACGUAGACGAACACACCAAGGGUCACCUGGAGUCACUGAAGCUGCGACUGGACGAGAAGGGACGAAUAGUGGACGAUUCGGAGGACAACUCUGGGAUGGAGUACACCUGCAUGUACUGUCAGCUGUGUUUUGACGAUGUCGCCGAUCUACAAAUGCACCACAAGACGCAUUUCAGCACAGUGCAGUCGCUGAUCAAACUGAAACAGAACAACUGGGUAUCUCCGAGACUGUUGACAGCAAAGGAUUUUGCUUAUAGCAACAACCUUCUUGGUAUGUUGGGAGAACCACCGUCACAAAGGUCCGGUCCAUCAGCGUUCAGAGAUCCACCACCACGAGAGGUCAUGUACUCCUCAUCUAAGUCCAAAGGCCCUUCAGUAAGGUUCAUAGAUCCACCGUCAAAGUCAGAUUACCCAUCAGAGUCAAUAGAUUACCCACCAGAGUCCACAAGUCCAUCAUUAGAGUCCAUAUAUUCAUCAUUAGAAUCCAUAGAUUCAUCAUUAGAAUUCACAGAUGACCCACCAGAGUCGAUUGAUGAAAAUGAUGUGGAAAAUGCUAAAAAUAUUUUGUUGGAUCACGAUUACGGUUUCAACACAAUUAUGCCACCAAGUUCCAAAAAGAGCGAUAAAAUUGUUCCAGAUCAUAAUUACACUAGCAAAUAUUUUAUGCAAAGAAGGUCAUCAUCACCGGAAGUGAUCGGUACGUCGUCUGCUGCUCUGGUUUCCAGCCGUCGUGGUAUCACUGACUUGACGGCAAAGGUACACAAACUGUUAACUACUGGCGUUAAUUUUACAGCACACAACUGUAGAUUCUGCCAAAGCAGUAAGAGGAUAAGUACUUCGUCCAGUAGCCUGUCGGCGACGAUUCCUUCCAAGGACGGUUUUCAGAGCAAUAUUGAUCAGUGUAACACUAAGACACACAGUCAUGGAUCAAAUACAGAAAUCUUUAAUCAUGGAUCAAAUACUGAAAUGUUGAGUCAUGGAUCAAAUACAGAAAUGUUGAGUCAUGGAUCAAAUACAGAAAUAUUGAAUCGUGGAACAAAUACAGAAAUGUUGAGUUGUGGAUCAAAUACUGAAAUGUUGAGACACGAAUCUAAUGCAGACAUAUGUAAUCGUGGAUCUAAUACAGAAUCACUGCAUCGGGGGUCAAAUACUGAAACUUGCACACGUGGAUCCAAUACUGAAACGUUGAGUCAUGGAUCUAAUACUGAAAUGUGUAGUUGUGGAACAAAUUCAGAAACACGGAGUCAUGAAGCCAAUACUGAAAUGUUGAGUCAUGGGUCUCAUACAGGAGUGUGUAGUCAUGGAUCUACUAAAAUUCCGAGUCAUGGGUCUGAUACUGAAUUGUGUAGUCAUUUGUCUAAUACGGAAAGGUUGAGUCACGAGGCUAACACUGAAAAGAGUUGUCUUAGAUCUAACGGAGAAACAUGUGAAAAUAUGAAUCGUGGAUCUAAUAUUGAAACGUGUAGUGGAUCUAAUACAGAUUCACGUAGUCUUGGAUCUGGUCAGUCACGUGGUUCCGGAUCUACAUCUGAACGUGCACCAUGCAAUAAAUGUUCAGCUAUUCCAACUAAUACACCUCUGGGUGACACUUCCUCUGGAAAUCACAACGUCUUUGCUUCAAAAUGUGAUAAUACGAAACGUCUGAAACUGGAUGUGCCAGACAGACCCACUAUAAUUGAGAAUAGAGUCCCAUCUCACGCAGAACACACAAGUAAAGAAUCGCACGACACUUCUGCCAUGAAUGAAUUAAAAGAUAAUUCGGUGGGGAGUACGCUAGAUCUUCCUCCAGCAACACGUGGCGGUGACGACCCGAGUGGCUUUUCCAGAUCGGAGAGUCCGACCAUGUCAUCGGAUGACGAGAUGGCCGACUCGCCGGAACCCAACAAGCUGUGCAUCGAUGAGGGUUCUGAAGACGAAUACGAUGACGCACUGUCGGAUUGUCACACGAGUUCGGAGGACGAGGACGAACAGCAGCACAGCGCGGAACCAUUUCCAACAGGGUUGUUUAUCAAUCAACAAUGUAAAAUCUUGAAAAAAUCAGCCUAAUAUUGAUAAAUAUUGUCUCUAAAGGUUGAUACAAUUUUCUGGUGUCUUGUUCUGGUAUUGAUAAAUAGUGGCAUUAAAGAAACAUUGCUUCUGAACGUCAAGAUAUGGAGUGAAGGACAACACAGACCCAUUCCUAACUGGCUUAUUUCUUUAAAGGGAUGUUGAUGUAAAAUAACAGUUUAGAAUAAUAGCAUUACGGUGUUCAUAAAAUUGUUUACUGUUACACUUAUUUUAAUUAUGAUUUUAAUGGUGCUUUUACGAUUAUUGAAUUUUUGUUCAACGUUAAAAAAGGAAAGAAAGACAAAAAAAAAAAAAGAAGUUUUUUCAAGGUACUUUAUUGCAUUAACGUUUUUUGCAAAUCGACCAUUUUUGUGUGACCUUUUGUGGUUGGUGUUGGUGUUUUUAAAGAACCUAUUACAGACCCGAGUUCUUCCUCGCUAUUCCUAGUUUAAUCAUAAUUAAUGAUGUUUUCACGAUUAUCCAAGGGCGGAUCCAAAGAAACCAACCGGGGGGGGGGGGGGGG
Molecule: unclassified non-coding RNA, 3720 nt
Filed under: Gigantopelta aegis
Lineage: Eukaryota; Metazoa; Mollusca; Gastropoda; Neomphalida; Peltospiridae
Description: uncharacterized LOC121385777, transcript variant X2
Source: RNAcentral